AUCCUGGCUCAGAUUGAACGCUGGCGGCAUGCCUUACACAUGCAAGUCGAACGGCAGCACGGGAGCAAUCCUGGUGGCGAGUGGCGAACGGGUGAGUAAUGUAUCGGAACGUACCUUUCAGUGGGGAUAACGUAGCGAAAGUUACGCUAAUACCGCAUAUUCUGUGUGCAGGAAAGCAGGGGAUCGCAAGACCUUGCGCUGAUUGAGCGGCCGAUAUCAGAUUAGCUAGUUGGUGAGGUAAAGGCUCACCAAGGCGACGAUCUGUAGCGGGUCUGAGAGGAUGAUCCGCCACACUGGAACUGAGACACGGUCCAGACUCCUACGGGAGGCAGCAGUGGGGAAUUUUGGACAAUGGGGCAACCCUGAUCCAGCCAUGCCGCGUGAGUGAAGAAGGCCUUCGGGUUGUAAAGCUCUUUCGGCCGGGAAGAAAUCGCAUGGGUUAAUACCCUGUGCGGAUGACGGUACCGGCAUAAGAAGCACCGGCUAACUACGUG
RNAcentral lists this ribosomal RNA (494 nucleotides) under uncultured bacterium. RNAcentral's name for it is "bacterial SSU rRNA". It matches the Rfam family "Bacterial small subunit ribosomal RNA", at positions 16 to 507 of the family's 1533-position model. The record is from RNAcentral.